CUAUCUCUCUCUCUCUCUCCUCUUUCUCUCUCACGGCUACUUUGGGAUCUCUCCAGCUGCAGCAACCUAAUAACCCAUUAGGUAUCUAGAUCUGCUACUCUCUUGUUUUCUAGGGUUUUGGAUCUAUUUUUUGCACCUUGCAAGGUUUUUUGACUGGUUAUGGUGGGGAUUUACUAGAUCUAGAACUAGGGUUUGGAUUUCAGAAAAUUCAAGUGAGAAGAUGCUUUUUCUUUUUCCAUUUUUCAUCUGUGGAUUUCUUGUGUAUUUUUCAGGACUUUCUCCUCUCUUGAGCUGAGAGAGUAAAAAGACAGAUCCGGAUCUCAUUCCACGCUCUUCCAUCUCCAAUUUAAGAUCCAUGCAUUUCCCUCUUGAAGUCGCUGGACAAAGUUGCAGAGGGAGUUUCUCCAGCUCUGAAAUUGCGAUCUGACAAUCUCUGAGAUGAAGGUAUAACUUACCACGUGUAUAUAUGAUGUGCCAUGUUAUUUUAAAAUACACUCUUGGUCAAUGAUGUUAUCCAUUUCAGUUUUGUAGUUCUGGCCAACAACAAGCUUUCCAUUCCUUCCACCAUGUUAUUGCAAGAGCUCGAAAUUGGAAAUUGAAACAUGGCUGAAUAAAAGGGCAUGGAGAAAUUUAAGUUCCACAAUGCCCUUUUGUGUUGGGUGUAGUCUAGGGGGUCUGAGAUCAUGUCCCCUGAUCAGACUCUUUAUCAUCCAGUUUUGUCUUAUUUUAGUCAUGCAUGUAUCACCCUUGCUUUUACUUAGAUGCAUUUGGUCGAAAAGCGAAUUGAAUUGCAAAAUGAGUGGGAAAAUUGGUAAUUAAGGAAUUUUCGUAGCAUCAGCAAUGAGGAAGUAGCCCUUGAGCUGCAGUUACUUCCAGGUUUCAAAUUGCAAAGAAAUGAAAUCACCAUUUGGGUUUCUUUUGUGUUAUUAGACUAGCAAUUGUUGCAAUUCAAUGGUGCACCCAAAUGAUCCCUUUGACCUUUUAAUGGUUCUACCUAAUCAUGUAAUUGUUGAUUGAUUCCAUCUGUAUUGUUCAUCAGUGUGAUUUUGCUCUAUUAAAUAAUUUGAAAAUUUGGGAA
Long non-coding RNA from Magnolia sinica, 1078 nucleotides. RefSeq lists it as uncharacterized. The record is from RefSeq and is a predicted model, not a curated record. The transcript has 2 exons. NCBI's taxonomy places the organism in Eukaryota, Viridiplantae, Streptophyta, Magnoliopsida, Magnoliales, Magnoliaceae.